This 483-nucleotide ribosomal RNA is filed under the name uncultured bacterium. RNAcentral describes it as "partial 16S ribosomal RNA". It matches the Rfam family "Bacterial small subunit ribosomal RNA", at positions 30 to 507 of the family's 1533-position model. The record is from RNAcentral.
UUGAACGCUAGCGGGAUGCUUUACACAUGCAAGUCGAACGGCAGCGCGGACUUCGGUCUGGCGGCGAGUGGCGAACGGGUGAGUAAUGUAUCGGAACGUGCCCAGUAGCGGGGGAUAACUACGCGAAAGCGUAGCUAAUACCGCAUACGCCCUACGGGGGAAAGCAGGGGAUCGUAAGACCUUGCACUAUUGGAGCGGCCGAUAUCGGAUUAGCUAGUUGGUGAGGUAACGGCUCACCAAGGCGACGAUCCGUAGCUGGUUUGAGAGGACGACCAGCCACACUGGGACUGAGACACGGCCCAGACUCCUAAGGGAGGCAGCAGUGGGGAAUUUUGGACAAUGGGGGCAACCCUGAUCCAGCCAUCCCGCGUGUGCGAUGAAGGCCUUCGGGUUGUAAAGCACUUUUGGCAGGAAAGAAACGUCGCGGGCUAAUACCCCGUGGAACUGACGGUACCUGCAGAAUAAGCACCGGCUAACUACGUG